CUAACACAUGCAAGUCGAGCGGUAGCACAGAGAGCUUGCUCUCGGGUGACGAGCGGCGGACGGGUGAGUAAUGUCUGGGAAACUGCCUGAUGGAGGGGGAUAACUACUGGAAACGGUAGCUAAUACCGCAUAACGUCGCAAGACCAAAGUGGGGGACCUUCGGGCCUCAUGCCAUCAGAUGUGCCCAGAUGGGAUUAGCUAGUAGGUGGGGUAACGGCUCACCUAGGCGACGAUCCCUAGCUGGUCUGAGAGGAUGACCAGCCACACUGGAACUGAGACACGGUCCAGACUCCUACGGGAGGCAGCAGUGGGGAAUAUUGCACAAUGGGCGCAAGCCUGAUGCAGCCAUGCCGCGUGUGUGAAGAAGGCCUUCGGGUUGUAAAGCACUUUCAGCGGGGAGGAAGGCGAUAAGGUUAAUAACCUUGUCGAUUGACGUUACCCGCAGAAGAAGCACCGGCUAACUCCGUGCCAGCAGCCGCGGUAAUACGGAGGGUGCAAGCGUUAAUCGGAAUUACUGGGCGUAAAGCGCACGCAGGCGGUCUGUCAAGUCGGAUGUGAAAUCCCCGGGCUCAACCUGGGAACUGCAUUCGAAACUGGCAGGCUAGAGUCUUGUAGAGGGGGGUAGAAUUCCAGGUGUAGCGGUGAAAUGCGUAGAGAUCUGGAGGAAUACCGGUGGCGAAGGCGGCCCCCUGGACAAAGACUGACGCUCAGGUGCGAAAGCGUGGGGAGCAAACAGGAUUAGAUACCCUGGUAGUCCACGCCGUAAACGAUGUCGAUUUGGAGGUUGUGCCCUUGAGGCGUGGCUUCCGGAGCUAACGCGUUAAAUCGACCGCCUGGGGAGUACGGCCGCAAGGUUAAAACUCAAAUGAAUUGACGGGGGCCCGCACAAGCGGUGGAGCAUGUGGUUUAAUUCGAUGCAACGCGAAGAACCUUACCUGGUCUUGACAUCCACAGAACUUAGCAGAGAUGCUUUGGUGCCUUCGGGAACUGUGAGACAGGUGCUGCAUGGCUGUCGUCAGCUCGUGUUGUGAAAUGUUGGGUUAAGUCCCGCAACGAGCGCAACCCUUAUCCUUUGUUGCCAGCGGUUCGGCCGGGAACUCAAAGGAGACUGCCAGUGAUAAACUGGAGGAAGGUGGGGAUGACGUCAAGUCAUCAUGGCCCUUACGACCAGGGCUACACACGUGCUACAAUGGCAUAUACAAAGAGAAGCGACCUCGCGAGAGCAAGCGGACCUCAUAAAGUAUGUCGUAGUCCGGAUUGGAGUCUGCAACUCGACUCCAUGAAGUCGGAAUCGCUAGUAAUCGUAGAUCAGAAUGCUACGGUGAAUACGUUCCCGGGCCUUGUACACACCGCCCGUCACACCAUGGGAGUGGGUUGCAAAAGAAGUAGGUAGCUUAACCUUCGGGAGGGCGCUUACCACUUUGA
Molecule: ribosomal RNA, 1425 nt
Filed under: uncultured bacterium
Lineage: Bacteria
Description: bacterial SSU rRNA
Rfam family: Bacterial small subunit ribosomal RNA
Source: RNAcentral